This 72-nucleotide transfer RNA is filed under the name Homo sapiens (human). Its description in RNAcentral is "tRNA-Asp (anticodon GTC) 9-1 (TRD-GTC9-1)". Lineage: Eukaryota; Metazoa; Chordata; Mammalia; Primates; Hominidae. The record is from RNAcentral.
UCCUUGUUACUAUAGUGGUAAGUAUCUCUGCCUGUCAUGCAUGAGAGAGGGGGUCGAUUCCCUGACGGGGAG